CAAUAGCGUAUAUUAAAGUUGUUGCAGUUAAAAAGCUCGUAGUUGAAUUUCUGGUGGGCGCGCCGGUCUUCCAAGUGUUGUACUGGGCGCAGUCCGCCAUCCUUGCGGAGAGGGCUCGCAUUGAGUUGCGUGUCGGAUCUGCAUCAUUUACUGUGAAAAAAUUAGAGUGUUUAAAGCAGGCUGUCGCUUGAAUACAUUAGCAUGGAAUAAUAAGAUAGGACUUCGGUCUAUUUUGUUGGUUGCGAACCGAGGUAAUGAUUAAUAGGGAUAGUUGGGGGUAUUCAUAUUUAAUUGUCAGAGGUGAAAUUCUUGGAUUUAUGAAAGAUGAACAACUGCGAAAGCAUUUACCAAGGAUGUUUCCAUUA
RNAcentral lists this ribosomal RNA (365 nucleotides) under uncultured eukaryote. Its description in RNAcentral is "partial 18S ribosomal RNA". It matches the Rfam family "Eukaryotic small subunit ribosomal RNA", at positions 592 to 975 of the family's 1831-position model. The record is from RNAcentral.